Endogone sp. FLAS-F59071 is the source of this 73-nucleotide non-coding RNA. The record is from the annotation of a GenBank genome assembly. NCBI's taxonomy places the organism in Eukaryota, Fungi, Mucoromycota, Endogonomycetes, Endogonales, Endogonaceae.
GCUGGCUUAGUGUAGCGGUUAUCACGUGUCCUUUACACGGACAAUGUCGCAGGUUCGAACCCUGCAGCUAGCA